AAAAAAAAUAAUAAUAAUAAUAAUAAUAACUAGGCAGUUAUCAUAGUUUAAGUUAUUUUACUUCUUUUAAUACAUUUUUUUGAAUAUUUUAUUUUGAUGGACUUAUGAGAUAAUUUUACACUCGCUCUUCAACUACCUAAAUUCACCUCCGACACAGAAUCUUUCGGUCAAGAAAACUGUUGGCCGCCAAAAUCUACAAUAGUCAAUAGGAAGAUGGAAGCAUAUGAGCAACUUUAGCUAUGAAUAUGAUGAUGUCUCAUCAUCGGCAUUGGCAUUGGCAUUGGCAUUGGUGUCGGCAUCGGCUUCGGCAUCGGCAUCGGCGUCGGCAUUGGCAUUGUCAGUCGCCUGUCUAGCAGAAAUCACCUUGUCAAGUGUUUGGUCAGGGACAGUGAUUCCAGCAGUCUCCAAGUCUGCAACAAUGGCAAUUGCUGCAUCUAGUUCCCCAAGGUCGAUACACAAGGUGAUUACUUCAUCAUAAAGAGGACUCCCAAAUGCAUAACCUAGACUAUGUGUUGUCUGCAGGAUUUUCAAGAAAGCUGAAGGCAU
This 546-nucleotide unclassified non-coding RNA is filed under the name Hevea brasiliensis (rubber tree). Lineage: Eukaryota; Viridiplantae; Streptophyta; Magnoliopsida; Malpighiales; Euphorbiaceae. The record is from RNAcentral.